GCACAAGCGGUGGAGCAUGUGGUUAAUUCGAAGCAACGCGAAGAACCUUACCAGGUCUUGACAUCCCGAUGCUAUUCUAGAGAUAGAAAGUUACCUCGGUACAUCGGUGACAGGUGGUGCAUGGUUGUCGUCAGCUCGUGUCGUGAGAUGUUGGGUUAAGUCCCGCAACGAGCGCAACCCCUAUUGUUAGUUGCCAUCAUUCAGUUGGGCACUCUAGCGAGACUGCCGGUAAUAAACCGGAGGAAGGUGGGAUGACGUCAAAUCAUCAUGCCCCUUAUGACCUGGGCUACACACGUGCUACAAUGGUUGGUACAACGAGUUGCGAGUCGGUGACGGCGAGCUAAUCUCUUAAAGCCAAUCUCAGUUCGGAUUGUAGGCUGCAACUCGCCUACAUGAAGUCGGAAUCGCUAGUAAUCGCGGAUCAGCACGCCGCGGUGAAUACGUUCCCGGGCCUU
RNAcentral lists this ribosomal RNA (455 nucleotides) under uncultured Streptococcus sp. RNAcentral describes it as "bacterial SSU rRNA". It matches the Rfam family "Bacterial small subunit ribosomal RNA", at positions 923 to 1382 of the family's 1533-position model. Lineage: Bacteria; Bacillati; Bacillota; Bacilli; Lactobacillales; Streptococcaceae. The record is from RNAcentral.